Molecule: ribosomal RNA, 464 nt
Filed under: uncultured bacterium
Lineage: Bacteria
Description: bacterial SSU rRNA
Rfam family: Bacterial small subunit ribosomal RNA
Source: RNAcentral
UUACGGGAGGCAGCAGUGGGGAAUUUUGCGCAAUGGGCUAACGCCUGACGCAGCAACGCCGCGUGGAGGAUGAAGGUCUUUGGAUUGUAAACUCCUGUCAGCAGGGAAAAAGCGAUAGGUGCUCAUACCACCUAAAGUUGAUUGUACCUGCAGAGGAAGCCCCGGCUAACUCUGUGCCAGCAGCCGCGGUAAUACAGAGGGGGCAAGCGUUAUUCGGAAUUAUUGGGCGUAAAGGGCGCGUAGGCGGCUUGGCAAGUGGAUGGUGAAAUCCCUCGGCUUAACUGAGGAACUGCCAUCCAGACUGCUUUGCUUGAGGCCGGGAGAGGCGAGUGGAAUUCCCAGUGUAGCGGUGAAAUGCGUAGAUAUUGGGAGGAACACCAGUGGCGAAGGCGGCUCGCUGGACCGGUUCUGACGCUGAGGCGCGAAAGCGUGGGGAGCAAACGGGAUUAGAUACCCGUGUAGUC